This 347-nucleotide ribosomal RNA is filed under the name uncultured bacterium. Its description in RNAcentral is "partial 16S ribosomal RNA". It matches the Rfam family "Bacterial small subunit ribosomal RNA", at positions 338 to 682 of the family's 1533-position model. The record is from RNAcentral.
CCUACGGGGGACAGCAGUGAGGAAUAGUGGUCAAUGGGCGCGAGCCUGAACCAGCCAAGUAGCGUGAAGGAUGACUGCCCUACGGGGUGUAAACUUCUUUUAUAAAGGAAUAAAGUGAGGCACGUGUGCCUUUUUGUAUGUACGUUAUGAAUAAGGAUCGGCUAACGCCGUGCCAGCAGCCGCGGUAAUACGGAGGAUCCGAGCGUUAUCCGGAUUGAUUGGGGUUCAAGGGAGCGUAGAUGGGUUGUUAAGUCAGUUGGGAAAGUUUGCGGCUCCACCGUAAAAUUGCAAUUGAUACUGGCAGCCUUUCUUACAGUUGAGGUAGUCGGCCUUCGUUGUGUAGCGGU